UAUUAAAAUCAUUCAAUAGCAUUAAAAUCUAGCUAACAACAAAGUUAACGAUAACAAGGUAAUCGUUGACAAAUAUAUACAGUUAAUUAUGCCAAUCGACCUUCAGUAACAACAAAACAACCUGCUACAAACAUUCAAUUAUGAAUCUAACAAACAUAUUUAAACCUUAACAAUCAAAAAGUUAAAAACAAUUAAAGUACUAUAAUAAAUCGUGAAAAUAUUUCAUUUGCGUAAAUUUAUGUCACAAUAACAUAUCACUUUGUGAGUACCCGUGUAC
This 277-nucleotide unclassified non-coding RNA is filed under the name Moritella viscosa. RNAcentral's name for it is "putative sRNA". Lineage: Bacteria; Pseudomonadati; Pseudomonadota; Gammaproteobacteria; Alteromonadales; Moritellaceae. The record is from RNAcentral.